AUGAACGCUGGCGGCGUGCCUAAUACAUGCAAGUCGAGCGAACAGACGAGAGUGCUUGCACUCUCUGACGUUAGCGGCGGACGGGUGAGUAACACGUGGGUAACCUACCUAUAAGACUGGGAUAACUUCGGGAAACCGGAGCUAAUACCGGAUAAUAUUUAGCUUCGCAUGAAGCAAUAGUGAAAGACGGUUCUGCUGUCACUUAUAGCUGGACCCGCGGUGUAUUAGCUAGUUGGUGAGGUAACGGCUCACCAAGGCAACGAUACAUAGCCGACCUGAGAGGGUGAUCGGCCACACUGGGACUGAGACACGGCCCAGACUCCUACGGGAGGCAGCAGUAGGGAAUCUUCCGCAAUGGACGAAAGUCUGGCGGAGCAAUGCCGCGUGAGUGAAGAAGGUUUUCGGAUCGUAAAACUCUGUUGUAAGGGAAGAACAAGUACGUUAGUAACUGAACGUACCUUGACGGUACCUUACCAGAAAGCCACGGCUAACUACGUG
Molecule: ribosomal RNA, 498 nt
Filed under: uncultured bacterium
Lineage: Bacteria
Description: partial 16S ribosomal RNA
Rfam family: Bacterial small subunit ribosomal RNA
Source: RNAcentral